Molecule: ribosomal RNA, 253 nt
Filed under: uncultured bacterium
Lineage: Bacteria
Description: partial 16S ribosomal RNA
Rfam family: Bacterial small subunit ribosomal RNA
Source: RNAcentral
UACGUAGGGUGCAAGCGUUAAUCGGAAUUACUGGGCGUAAAGCGUGCGCAGGCGGCUAUGCAAGACAGAUGUGAAAUCCCCGGGCUCAACCUGGGAAUUGCAUUGGAGACUGCAAGGCUAGAAUCUGGCAGAGGGGGGUAGAAUUCCACGUGUAGCAGUGAAAUGCGUAGAGAUGUGGAGGAACACCGAUGGCGAAGGCAGCCCCCUGGGUCAAGAUUGACGCUCAUGCACGAAAGCGUGGGGAGCAAACAGG